RNAcentral lists this unclassified non-coding RNA (568 nucleotides) under Hevea brasiliensis (rubber tree). The record is from RNAcentral. Lineage: Eukaryota; Viridiplantae; Streptophyta; Magnoliopsida; Malpighiales; Euphorbiaceae.
AUCACCACUUACGAAGGGAAGCACAACCAUGAUGUUCCAGCUGCUCGUGGCAGCGGCUAUCCAUCCAAUAGACCUCCAUCCAAUGGUAACAGCAGCAGUAUGCCUAUCCCUAUAAGACCCUCUGUCACAACCAGCACAAAUUAUCCGAGCUCGCUGAACAGCACAAGGUUACCAACAUCAGCAAGUCAAGCACCAUUCAACCUAGAAAUGCUGCAUGGUCCAGGGAGCAUUGGUUUCUCAGGUUAUGGGAAGCCAACCGGUUCAUACAUGAACCAAACACAGUAUACACAGAGUGCAUACUCCGGACCUAAGGAAGAACCAAAGGAUGACUCGCUUCUCGACUCUUUCCUAUGUUGAAAACCAAAAAAAACUAACUCCACAAGUAGCAGUUAGGAUUCAGGAAACACUGUUGAAUUAGAUAUGCUUGUAGUAGUGUAAUAUAGAUAUAGUUGUAAUUUUUUAAUUUGUUUUGAGGCCCUUCUAAGCUUGAUAGUAUAGGCCUCAUUUUGUCAUAUACACAAUAAUUCAGCAGAAACCUAAAUCCUAACUGCUACUUGUGGAGUUAGUU